CAGUCGCCGCGGUAAAACGGAGGGGGCUAGCGUUGUUCGGAAUUACUGGGCGUAAAGCGCGCGUAGGCGGUUACUCAAGUCAGAGGUGAAAGCCCGGGGCUCAACCCCGGAACUGCCUUUGAAACUAGGUGACUAGAAUCUUGGAGAGGUCAGUGGAAUUCCGAGUGUAGAGGUGAAAUUCGUAGAUAUUCGGAAGAACACCAGUGGCGAAGGCGACUGACUGGACAAGUAUUGACGCUGAGGUGCGAAAGCGUGGGGAGCAAACAGGAUUAGAUACCCCGGUAGUCCCUGUCUCUUAUAC
This 301-nucleotide ribosomal RNA is filed under the name uncultured bacterium. RNAcentral's name for it is "partial 16S ribosomal RNA". It matches the Rfam family "Bacterial small subunit ribosomal RNA", at positions 509 to 807 of the family's 1533-position model. The record is from RNAcentral.